RNAcentral lists this small RNA (165 nucleotides) under Roseburia sp. CAG:50. RNAcentral describes it as "Clostridiales-1 RNA". It matches the Rfam family "Clostridiales-1 RNA". The record is from Rfam by way of RNAcentral. Lineage: Bacteria; Bacillati; Bacillota; Clostridia; Lachnospirales; Lachnospiraceae.
UGAUGCUAGGGUCAAAAGCCUGAAACCAUGAUGUGCUUGCACAGGAGUGGUUUCAGGCUUUUGACCCAUCCCGAUAUGAUCAUAAAAGUGUAGUGUUAGCUUCCCGAUAUGCGAAUAGCGGGAAGAAUUGUAGGAGUGCAAAGCACGGAACAAUCCGUGUAAUCA